AAACCAGCACCUCAAGUGGUCAGGAGGAUUAUUGGGCCUAAAGCAUCCGUAGCCUGUUCUAUAAGUUUCCGGUUAAAUCCACUAGCUCAACUAGUGGGCUGCCGAAAAUACUGUAGAACUAGGGAGUGGGAGAGGUAGACGGUAUUCGGUAGGAAGGGGUAAAAUCCUUUGAUCUAUUGAGGACCACCUGUGGCGAAGGCGGUCUACCAGAACACGUUCGACGGUGAGGGAUGAAAGCUGGGGGAGCAAACCGGAUUAGAAACCCUGGUAGUCC
This 274-nucleotide ribosomal RNA is filed under the name uncultured bacterium. RNAcentral's name for it is "partial 16S ribosomal RNA". It matches the Rfam family "Archaeal small subunit ribosomal RNA", at positions 473 to 747 of the family's 1478-position model. The record is from RNAcentral.